Transfer RNA from Beta vulgaris subsp. vulgaris (sugar beet), 73 nucleotides. It matches the Rfam family "tRNA". Rfam says of the family: Transfer RNA (tRNA) molecules are approximately 80 nucleotides in length. NCBI's taxonomy places the organism in Eukaryota, Viridiplantae, Streptophyta, Magnoliopsida, Caryophyllales, Amaranthaceae. The record is from Rfam.
GGGCAUUUGGUCUAGUGGUACUAUUCUCGCUUUGGGUGCGAGAGGGCCAAGAGUUCAAUUCUCGGAAUGCCCC